Danio rerio (zebrafish) is the source of this 291-nucleotide non-coding RNA. Lineage: Eukaryota; Metazoa; Chordata; Actinopteri; Cypriniformes; Danionidae. The record is from RefSeq and is a predicted model, not a curated record.
AGGGGAAAAAUGUGCAGAUUUAAAAUCUCUGGGAUCAAGACAGAAGAUUUACAGCGCAAGAUCAAGCAAAACACAACAGAAUAAGAUGUGUUUGUUAUGAUAUUGCUCCCUCCCUCGACUGCACCUCUUCCCAGCAGUCACUGCAGGAUGGACAGUUUCACAUGAGCUCAGUGUGGAGGGGUGAACAGAUGGACUGUACCAUUAUCCCAAAGUACCCUGCUGUGCUGAAUGAAAUAUUAUCUAUCUAUCUAUCUAUCUAUCUAUCUAUCUAUCUAUCUAUCUAUCUAUCUA